RNAcentral lists this ribosomal RNA (750 nucleotides) under uncultured bacterium. RNAcentral's name for it is "bacterial SSU rRNA". It matches the Rfam family "Bacterial small subunit ribosomal RNA", at positions 8 to 738 of the family's 1533-position model. The record is from RNAcentral.
AGAGUUUGAUCCUGGCUCAGGACGAACGCUGGCGGCAUGCCUAAUACAUGCAAGUCGAGCGGACUUGAAGAGAAGCUUGCUUCUCUGAUGGUUAGCGGCGGACGGGUGAGUAACACGUAGGCAACCUGCCCUCAAGCUUGGGACAACUACCGGAAACGGUAGCUAAUACCGAAUACUUGUUUUCUUCGCCUGAAGAGAACUGGAAAGACGGAGCAAUCUGUCACUUGAGGAUGGGCCUGCGGCGCAUUAGCUAGUUGGUGAGGUAACGGCUCACCGAGGCGACGAUGCGUAGCCGACCUGAGAGGGUGAUCGGCCACACUGGGACUGAGACACGGCCCAGACUCCUACGGGAGGCAGCAGUAGGGAAUCUUCCGCAAUGGGCGAAAGCCUGACGGAGCAAUGCCGCGUGAGUGAUGAGGGUUUUCGGAUCGUAAAGCUCUGUUGCCAGGGAAGAACGCUUAGGAGAGUAACUGCUCCUGAGGUGACGGUACCUGAGAAGAAAGCCCCGGCUAACUACGUGCCAGCAGCCGCGGUAAUACGUAGGGGGCAAGCGUUGUCCGGAAUUAUUGGGCGUAAAGCGCGCGCAGGCGGUCAUUUAAGUCUGGUGUUUAAUCCCGGGGCUCAACCCCGGAUCGCACUGGAAACUGGGUGACUUGAGUGCAGAAGAGGAGAGUGGAAUUCCACGUGUAGCGGUGAAAUGCGUAGAGAUGUGGAGGAACACCAGUGGCGAAGGCGACUCUCUGGGCUGUA